AACGAUUUUUCUUCAUUAAAUCGGUUUCUACUACCAAGUUUAUUUGUAAAUGUCCAGGAGCAGAUUCACAUCAUACAUACCUGACCAUGAUGAAGGAUGCGAACUCAGAAAUGGGGCCAUCCCUUCCUCACUCUCCCCACAGUGUCCUCGGCUCUCCAACUGGGCAGUCAACGAUGUUCGCAGAAACAGUCGAGCGGUUAUGUCGCGACUGGAUGCCCAAAAGCAACAAAAAGCCAGCUAGUAGUAACAGAAGCUAUUCGUCAUGGUUCAUGUGGUCUGUGGCUCAGACUCCAAGUCGAAUUUGGAUGGUAAGUAAUGUUUGUUUUAUUUUGGGUUGUAUUCUGUAUCAAAAACUUCACAAUUCACCUGUAACUUGGAAAGAUUCUGACUCAUCUUUUAAAUUUAAGACUUCUGUAGAUAAGCACAAAUUAAUUGACCUUGUGGAGGUACAGGACACUAAUUACUUGAUUUGUUUAAGUUAACAAUAUUGCAUAAUUUCCUCUAUCUCUAAAACUCAUUCUAUGAUUGACUGAGUUCAUUUGAAAUUUUUUUUGAAACACGCUUCACUCUCAAUUUUAUAAUGGCUUCAUACAGUAUUUGUAAAUGUAGCAAUGACAAGUUAUUUAUAAAUUUCUUUGCCAAGAAAUUUUGCAUAGUUCCUCUGCCAGUGGACGAAUUACAAGAAAAAAUUGUUCAAGUUGAAAACUGCACAGAAUUUUUAUCCGUUAUUAUGGUGGUCACUAUCUACCGACUUAUUUCAUAAUGUGUCAUUAUAUAUGAUGAGUUCAAUGGCUGUGCAGGAACAGUCAAACAUUGGUUGAUCCUGUAUGAUGUAUAUAGCAUAACAGGCUUUGCUGGUGCCGGUCAUUUUUUCAACGAUGUCCCGAACAAUGUUGUAGGAUGUAAGAGCUAUUAAUAAUGAAUUCAUCCUCUCAAGUGAAACAUUCAUGUCUUCUCCUUUUUAGCCUCGGCAAAUUCAGCUAACGCAUCUGCUAUUAUGGAUGAAGGUAAAAAUCUCGAGACAAGUCUAAAGAUAUCUCAACAGAAAGGAGUUCAGACAAAGUGGACGGUGGACAGUAGUCUUAUUCCUGAUAUAAAGCUUCAGUACCUGAUAAAAGUGCAGCAGCAACAGAGGCUGACAAUGAAGAGACAGGGAAAUCUGCGGAGACUGUCAGAGAAAGUGAGAAGGAAGAAGUAAAGAAAGUCGAUUUCGAAGAAAAGACUUCAGUGACCAGGUGGUUCCUGAGGGGAUUAGCAAUCUAGCAGAAUCCCCAAAACCCACCGAAGUUAAAACUAGUGAUAGUGUACAAAAUUCCUUUGUAAGUAUUGAUUCAUUUGUUUUAUUUGAUGUGUGAUGAUGAAAUAACAUUUGAGAUGUGGGGAGAUUGCAUCAUUCGUUUCUAAAGGGUCCCCGUUGCUUGAAAUCAGUUCAAUUUCAUAUCACUCUUUGGCAGAUCUUUUUGUUCAGACGAGACUUCAUGUUAGCAACCAGUCAAUCUGACCCAAAACUUUGUUAAUCUUGUUUCUAGUACUAUCGGCUGUUGUGGUCAAUUUGCAGCAUAUUGUCAUUAGAACUAUGUUUUUCAUUUGGAUGUAUUUAUGCUAAAAGUAACUAAGAGGAAAUUAUAAAAUGGAACCAUAGAACUAUAAGGAACUAUAAUAAAACAAAAGGAACUAUAAUAAAUGCAAAUUUGAUACUUAGAGUUCCUUUUACCAUAAAUACAUCCUUUUUAAACAAGAAAUCGAACUCUCUGUGUUACCUAGAACCAGUAGGAAGGUUUGUUAACCUUGUUUAUUUGAGGAGUGGAUUUUAUUUUUAAAGUGCAUAAAGAUUUUUGAUAGAUCUUAAGUAUGUUUUUCAAUUUUUCUCUAAUUAUUUUUGG
This 1883-nucleotide long non-coding RNA is filed under the name Bemisia tabaci. Its description in RNAcentral is "lncRNA ENSSWEETPG007138". Lineage: Eukaryota; Metazoa; Arthropoda; Insecta; Hemiptera; Aleyrodidae. The record is from RNAcentral.